This 245-nucleotide ribosomal RNA is filed under the name uncultured bacterium. Its description in RNAcentral is "partial 16S ribosomal RNA". It matches the Rfam family "Bacterial small subunit ribosomal RNA", at positions 524 to 767 of the family's 1533-position model. The record is from RNAcentral.
UACGAGUACCUCAAGCGUUAUCCGGAUUUACUGGGCGUAAAGAGUCUGUAGGUGGUCAGAAAAGUUUCUGGUUAAAACUUCAGAGCUUAACUUUGGAGAUGCUAGAAAAACUCUCUGACUAGAGGGUGUCAAAGGCUGUUAGAACCGACGGUGUAGGGGUGAAAUCCGUUGAUAUCGUCGGGAAUACCAAAAGCGAAGGCAUUCAGCUGGGGCAACCCUGACACUGAGAGACGAAAGCGUGGGGA